Molecule: ribosomal RNA, 389 nt
Filed under: uncultured bacterium
Lineage: Bacteria
Description: bacterial SSU rRNA
Rfam family: Bacterial small subunit ribosomal RNA
Source: RNAcentral
AUUGAACGCUGGCGGCAUGCCUUACACAUGCAAGUCGAACGGCAGCACGGGGGCAACCCUGGUGGCGAGUGGCGAACGGGUGAGUAAUGCAUCGGAACGUGCCCGGUAGUGGGGGAUAACUCGGCGAAAGUCGAGCUAAUACCGCAUACGUACCGAGGUAGAAAGCGGGGGACCUGCAAGGGCCUCGCGCUAUCGGAGCGGCCGAUGUCGGAUUAGCUUGUUGGUGGGGUAAUGGCCUACCAAGGCGACGAUCCGUAACUGGUCUGAGAGGACGACCAGUCACACUGGGACUGAGACACGGCCCAGACUCCUACGGGAGGCAGCAGUGGGGAAUUUUGGACAAUGGGCGAAAGCCUGAUCCAGCAAUGCCGCGUGUGUGAAGAAGGCCU